GAGCUUUUAGUAUAUUUAGUAUUUUUAAUUGCAAAUUAAAAGGUUUCUAGCUUU
This 54-nucleotide transfer RNA is filed under the name Strongyloides sp. EN-2020b. RNAcentral's name for it is "tRNA-Cys". The record is from RNAcentral. Lineage: Eukaryota; Metazoa; Nematoda; Chromadorea; Rhabditida; Strongyloididae.